Molecule: ribosomal RNA, 465 nt
Filed under: uncultured bacterium
Lineage: Bacteria
Description: partial 16S ribosomal RNA
Rfam family: Bacterial small subunit ribosomal RNA
Source: RNAcentral
CCUACGGGAGGCAGCAGUGGGGAAUAUUGCGCAAUGGGCGAAAGCCUGACGCAGCGACGCCGCGUGAGGGAUGAAGGUCUUCGGAUCGUAAACCUCUGUCAGCAGGGAAGAACGGUCACUGUGCUAAUCAGCAGUGAAUUGACGGUCCCUGCAAAGGAAGCACCGGCUAACUCCGUGCCAGCAGCCGCGGUAAUACGGAGGGUGCGAGCGUUAAUCGGAAUUACUGGGCGUAAAGCGCUCGUAGGCGGUAUGUCAAGUCAAGGGUGAAAUCCCCGCGCUCAACGUGGGAACUGCCUUUGAAACUGGCAAACUGGAGUGUGUGAGAGGAUAGUGGAAUGCCAGGUGUAGGAGUGAAAGCCGUAGAUAUCUGGAGGAACAUCAGUGGCGAAGGCGACUAUCUGGCACAUAACUGACGCUGAGGAGCGAAAGCGUGGGUAGCAAACAGGAUUAGAUACCCUUGUAGUC